GCGAUUUUCUUGCCUCAGCCUUCCCAGUAGCUGGGAUUACAGGCAUAACUGAAGGUGAAAGGACAGAAUCACCAUGUGUUACUGGCACAGAUGCAUCGGCUAGUGAAGAAAGAAGACAUUCAAACUGGCUGAAGCAGUGCCUACUCAAUAAAACCAGUCAUCGUGCAAAGAAAUGCCACCUGACUCAAAGGCAAAGCCAGAGUGCAGCUAGGAG
This 214-nucleotide long non-coding RNA is filed under the name Homo sapiens (human). RNAcentral describes it as "HSALNT0380469". The record is from RNAcentral. Lineage: Eukaryota; Metazoa; Chordata; Mammalia; Primates; Hominidae.